AGAUGAUGGUGUGUUUUGGAUGGAGU
RNAcentral lists this non-coding RNA (26 nucleotides) under Cricetulus griseus (Chinese hamster). Lineage: Eukaryota; Metazoa; Chordata; Mammalia; Rodentia; Cricetidae. The record is from RNAcentral.